CGUGAGGAACCUACCUUCAAGUGGGGAAUAACUCGCAGAAAUGCGAGCUAAUACCGCAUGUGGUUGCGGAGUGGCAUCACUCUGCACCUAAAGAUUUAUCGCUUGGAGACGGCCUCGCGGCCUAUUAGCUAGUUGGUGGGGUAACGGCCUACCAAGGCGAUGAUGGGUAGCUGGUCUGAGAGGACGAUCAGCCACACUGGGACUGAGACACGGCCCAG
Molecule: ribosomal RNA, 218 nt
Filed under: uncultured bacterium
Lineage: Bacteria
Description: partial 16S ribosomal RNA
Rfam family: Bacterial small subunit ribosomal RNA
Source: RNAcentral